AACGAUCCACCGCUGCCUUGGCGGCGCGGAUGGUGUUCUUGCGGCGGCCGUAGAAGCCCUUGGCGGCCUUGAGCGUCUUCUUGU
This 84-nucleotide small RNA is filed under the name Sinorhizobium meliloti 2011. RNAcentral describes it as "putative ncRNA". Lineage: Bacteria; Pseudomonadati; Pseudomonadota; Alphaproteobacteria; Hyphomicrobiales; Rhizobiaceae. The record is from RNAcentral.